Molecule: ribosomal RNA, 557 nt
Filed under: uncultured fungus
Lineage: Eukaryota; Fungi
Description: eukaryotic LSU rRNA
Rfam family: Eukaryotic large subunit ribosomal RNA
Source: RNAcentral
GGGAUUGCCUUAGUAACGGCGAGUGAAGCGGCAACAGCUCAAAUUUGAAAUCUGGCCCUCGGGUCCGAAUUGUAAUUUGUAGAGGAUAAUUUUGGUGCGGUAUCUUCCGAGUUCCUUGGAACAGGACGCCUUAGAGGGUGAGAGCCCCGUACGGUUGAAUGCCUAGCCUCUGUAAAUCUCCUUCGACGAGUCGAGUAGUUUGGGAAUGCUGCUCUAAAUGGGAGGUAAAUUUCUUCUAAAGCUAAAUAUUGGCCAGAGACCGAUAGCGCACAAGUAGAGUGAUCGAAAGAUGAAAAGCACUUUGAAAAGAGGGUUAAAUAGCACGUGAAAUUGUUGAAAGGGAAGGAUUUGUGACCAGACUUUUUCUGGGCGGAUCAUCCGGGGUUCUCUCCGGUGCACUUUGCCCAGUAAAGGCCAGCAUCGAUUUUCGGCGGCGGAUAAAAGCAGUGGGAAUGUGGCUCCCUACGGGGAGUGUUAUAGCCCAUUGUAUAAUACGCUGCUGGGGAUCGAGGUACGCGCUUCUGCAAGGAUGCUGGCGUAAUGGUUAUCAAUCACCC